CAUCAGAAGGAUGGAUUCUGUCUUCAUAUCCAUUGUGCUAUCCUGUGUCUCUUUAUAGUGGCUGCAGGUGGUGUCUCUUCCUUUCCAGGUGCGUAUAGGUCUGGGGGGUCCUCUUCAGGUGGGUGCAAUUGGCUUCAAUGCUCUGAUGGGUCUCAAGGUGGAUGCAGGUGGGUCUGAGGCACUUGCUCUCCAGGUGGGUGAGAGUGGGACUAGGGCAUAGAUGUCAGAAGACUCUAGGUUCCUUGGUCCUCAGGGGCCGAUUGAAUCUGCCUCUGCACUGCAUGGGGACCAGAAUGGCCCAGUGAUCUCAAUAAGCAACCAUGUCUUCCUUAAAUAAACUCUGGCUGAUUCAAGGAAGAGUCUUGAAAGGGCUUGAUAUGCAGCAAAGUUCUUCCAGCCUGGCAGGUAUUAUAAAAUCAAUUCCAUAUGCAUUAUAAAUAUCAGCUAUAACUUGAAAAGUCUGCACUAGGCCUCAUACCAGGUUGGACUUUACCAAUUUUUAUUUUGAUACAUUUUCAUGCUAUUUCACUAGUUCCAUGUUAUUAAAGGACUCCUCUAGUUUAUUUCCAUUAACUUGUAAUGUUCUGGUUCCUAAAUAUAGAACUUCAUCUCUUUCAAUUCAAAGUUCGAGUUCCAAAGUCAUGACUUCCUGGAGGAAAUGAAUGUCUUUUAAAAGCUAUGAAUUUGAUGUUUAAUGAUAAAUUAAACAUAAUUAAUGUAGUUCUGGAACUGGAGAGUGGAGCUGGCUCUUUUCUAGUGAUUUUCUUUAAGAUCAACUUCAUUCUCUGAUUUUAAAUGACUUUCUUCUGUUGACAGGUCUGUGUGACAGAGAUAAUGAUAUUUCAAGCCUGUACUUACUUUUCCUAGUGAAAGCCCUUGACUUAUGUUUGUCUAUCCAAAUAAACUUAGUAUUGCAGGAGCUGCAGAUCCCCCUGGGGGAAUGAUCGUGUAUCCCAGGAACUGAGGGUCACUCAGCUCACAGUUUCUGAAGCACAGACUGGGGAUCAGAACCCCAUGUAAAGUCAAAUUGUUUCCUUUGCAAAGAUGAGAUGUGAGAUGAGUUAUACCAGAAAUACCUAAUUAAUACAUAUAGACACGAGUUUUUAAAAUCAAGAAAACCACAGUUUCUAGAUUUAGAUGUCACCGUUAACUAUUAUAGCCACUGAAGUAUUUCUUCUAGAUUCAUCAGGGCAGUACCUGCAGUCACGUGACUCGUGGGGUAAGUAGACAUUCAUGUUAUUGUCUAUGGGGUUCAUUAGCAACCACUCCUAAAGAGGAAGAGUACACAAUAUUUAUAGCCAAUGGCUCUAGGUAGAAUAGACAACAUCUAUAUCAGAAGAAAUAUUAAAUUUCCAUACAAUCCAAACUGUUCAUUCCCAAAAAUGAAGAAAGUGCAAACAUUUCCAGGCUUGCUGUGUUCACUGGGAUUGCUACAGUGUUUGAAAAACAGUUCCUACUCAGGAACUUAGCAGGAAAGGCAGAAGCACAUAAGGAACAAAGGUACCAAAGAGCAAGCCAUCAAUUACAACCUGGGACAUUGAAAAAGAAUUACUAGAAACUGUGUCAUGUGAGCCAAGGAAAGAGGAUGAGUAGUGGUUUGCAAAUAAAGAAAAGUGAGGAAGGAAAUAUCAUGGUAAAGCCAUAAAGGCAAGAAGCAUCAGUGUGAAUGUCAGGAGGUAGGGUCAGCUCAAUACCACUUGAGCAUAAUACAGAAGGAAGGAGUAACGAAAAGUGAGACCAAAUACAAAAAUGCUGAGUGAGAUCAUGAACACAGUCAGAAAAUCCAAUUUUGGAGCUGAUGCAGUGAGAGACAGAGAAUGUUUAAGUUAAGAUCACCAUAACAAAAGCAUAAAGGAGAUCCAUGAGGAGAGUACCCAUAAUCUAUUCAUUUCUCAGAUGUUUACUAUGCCCUAGGGACAGAACUGGUUUCAAAGUUGGCAGAGGGCUCACCUUCUUGGCACUUGGCACUUGAAAAUCAAGUAGGGAGAACACCCAGAAGGCCAAGUGGAAGGUCAGAUACUCACUGAUGUGGAAAGCACCUGGAUGGACUUCUAGGUAGGCAUGGUCCAUUCUCUGCAGUCACUACAGGGGCAGGAGGGAGCAGUGACAACUUAAGUUAUGGACAAAUUGGACUUGAAAGUACUUAAAUCUCAGAACUUAAGAAUUUUGACAAUGGGAUAUAUAUAUAUAAUGCAUAAGCCAUGCAUCUGAUGGUGGAUUUUGGCUCUCUGCGAGGAAGUUGGUCACACAUCAACUUUGGGUGUGUCUGUAUUUCUGGAAAGCACGACAUUUGAAUCAGUGGACUGAGCAAAGAUGGCCUCAUCAGUGUGGAUGAGCAAUGUCCAAACAGCUGAGGCCUAAUAUAGCAAAAGAAAGAAGAAUAAGCCCACCCCAUCUCCUGGAGCCUGGACUCCCACAUUCUAUGAGUGGGGGUUUGUUCUAGACCAUUAGGUGACGUCACCCUGGCAAGUUCUUUGCAUGUAUUAAAAUUUCCCCACUCUGAUUUUUUUCAAAAACUAUUUUCUUGUUUUUAACUCCAGCUUUUUCAUAUUUAACAUUUAUUUCUAUUAUUUUAAAGUAUGUGUAUAUGUGCGGGAGGGUGUCUGAACAUGAGUGUAGUACCUGUGGAAACAGAGGAGGUUGUUGUGUUCCCUAGAACUGGAAUUAUAGGCAGUUGUGAGCUGCCUGACAUGUGUGUUGUGGUAACUGAACCUGUAUCCUCUGCAAGAGCAGUGUGGUGGUUUGGAAGGAAAUGGAUCCCAAAGACAGAGGCACUAUUAGGAGAUGCGGCCUUGUUGGAGUAAGCACGUUGCUAUGGGGGUG
Non-coding RNA from Cricetulus griseus (Chinese hamster), 2823 nucleotides. NCBI's taxonomy places the organism in Eukaryota, Metazoa, Chordata, Mammalia, Rodentia, Cricetidae. The record is from RefSeq and is a predicted model, not a curated record.